RNAcentral lists this ribosomal RNA (377 nucleotides) under uncultured bacterium. RNAcentral's name for it is "bacterial SSU rRNA". It matches the Rfam family "Bacterial small subunit ribosomal RNA", at positions 524 to 898 of the family's 1533-position model. The record is from RNAcentral.
GACGAACCGUCCAAACGUUAUUCGGAAUCACUGGGCUUAAAGGGUGCGUAGGCGGUCCGGGAAGUUGGGUGUGAAAGCCCUCGGCUCAACCGAGGAAUUGCGUCCAAAACUGCCGGGCUCGAGGGAGACAUAGGUGAGCGGAACUUAGGGUGGAGCGGUGAAAUGCGUUGAGAUCCUAAGGAACACCAGUAGCGAAAGCGGCUCACUGGGUCUCUUCUGACGCUGAGUGCACGAAAGCUAGGGGAGCGAAGAGGAUUAGAUACCCUCGUAGUCCUAGCCGUAAACAAUGAGCACUGGUUUGGAGGGUCCUCCAUAGCCUUCCAGACGUAGCGAAAGUGUUAAGUGCUCCGCCUGGGGAGUAUGGUCGCAAGGCUGAA